GUGGGGAAUAUUGGACAAUGGGCGCAAGCCUGAUCCAGCAAUGCCGCGUGGGUGAAGAAGGUCUUCGGAUCGUAAAGCCCUUUCGACAGGGACGAUGAUGACGGUACCUGUAGAAGAAGCCCCGGCUAACUUCGUGCCAGCAGCCGCGGUAAUACGAAGGGGGCUAGCGUUACUCGGAAUUACUGGGCGUAAAGGGCGCGUAGGCGGCUCUGUUAGUCAGGCGUGAAAUUCCUGGGCUUAACCUGGGGACUGCGCUUGAUACUGCAGGGCUUGAGGCCGAGAGAGGGUGGUAGAAUUCCCAGUGUAGAGGUGAAAUUCGUAGAUAUUGGGAAGAACACCGGUGGCGAAGGCGACCACCUGGCUCGGUUCUGACGCUGAGGCGCGACAGCGUGGGGAGCAAACAGGAUUAGAAACCCUGGUAGUCC
RNAcentral lists this ribosomal RNA (425 nucleotides) under uncultured bacterium. Its description in RNAcentral is "partial 16S ribosomal RNA". It matches the Rfam family "Bacterial small subunit ribosomal RNA", at positions 354 to 796 of the family's 1533-position model. The record is from RNAcentral.